RNAcentral lists this ribosomal RNA (253 nucleotides) under uncultured bacterium. RNAcentral's name for it is "partial 16S ribosomal RNA". It matches the Rfam family "Bacterial small subunit ribosomal RNA", at positions 524 to 776 of the family's 1533-position model. The record is from RNAcentral.
CACGUAGGGCGCAAGCGUUGUCCGGAAUUAUUGGGCGUAAAGAGCUCGUAGGCGGUCUGUUGCGUCCGCUGUGAAAACCCGGGGCUUAACCCCUGGCUUGCAGUGGAUACGGACAGACUAGAGGUAGGUAGGGGAGAAUGGAAUUCCCGGUGUAGCGGUGAAAUGCGCAGAUAUCGGGAGGAACACCGGUGGCGAAGGCGGCUUCCUGGACCAGAACUGACGAUCAGGCACGAAAGCGUGGGGAGCAAACAGG